GAUUCAUGACUGGGGUGAAGUCGUAACAAGGUAGCCGUAUCGGAAGGUGCGGCUGGAUCACCUCCUUUCC
Molecule: ribosomal RNA, 70 nt
Filed under: Burkholderia multivorans
Lineage: Bacteria; Pseudomonadati; Pseudomonadota; Betaproteobacteria; Burkholderiales; Burkholderiaceae
Also listed under: 2 other names
Description: partial 16S ribosomal RNA
Rfam family: Bacterial small subunit ribosomal RNA
Source: RNAcentral